RNAcentral lists this ribosomal RNA (253 nucleotides) under uncultured bacterium. Its description in RNAcentral is "partial 16S ribosomal RNA". It matches the Rfam family "Bacterial small subunit ribosomal RNA", at positions 524 to 776 of the family's 1533-position model. The record is from RNAcentral.
UACAGAGGUCCCAAGCGUUGUUCGGAUUUAUUGGGCGUAAAGGGUGCGUAGGCGGUCGCCUAAGUCAGGUGUGAAAUCUCGGGGCUCAACCUCGAAACUGCACUUGAUACUGGGUGGCUAGAGUACUGGAGAGGAGACUGGAAUUUACGGUGUAGCAGUGAAAUGCGUAGAUAUCUGGAGGAAUACCGGUGGCGAAGGCGGCAUCCUGGACCAUAACUGACGCUGAGGCGCGAAAGCUAGGGGAGCAAACGGG